RNAcentral lists this ribosomal RNA (433 nucleotides) under uncultured bacterium. RNAcentral's name for it is "partial 16S ribosomal RNA". It matches the Rfam family "Bacterial small subunit ribosomal RNA", at positions 29 to 507 of the family's 1533-position model. The record is from RNAcentral.
AGCGAACGCUGGCGGCAGGCUUAACACAUGCAAGUCGUACGCAUCCUUCGGGGUGAGUGGCAGACGGGUGAGUAACACGUGGGAACGUACCCUUCGAUCUGGGAUAACUUCGGGAAACUGGAGCUAAUACCGGAUACGCCCUUUUGGGGAAAGGUUUACUGUCGAAGGAUCGGCCCGCGUCUGAUUAGCUAGUUGGUGGGGUAACGGCCUACCAAGGCGACGAUCAGUAGCUGGUCUGAGAGGAUGAUCAGCCACACUGGGACUGAGACACGGCCCAGACUCCUACGGGAGGCAGCAGUGGGGAAUAUUGGACAAUGGGCGCAAGCCUGAUCCAGCCAUGCCGCGUGAGUGAUGAAGGCCUUAGGGUUGUAAAGCUCUUUUGUCCGGGACGAUAAUGACGGUACCGGAAGAAUAAGCCCCGGCUAACUUCGUG